GCCUUGGGACUGGGCCUGAGAAGGGAGGAGUUAUUCAGGCCUCCGCCAGCUUCUAGGCCCUGGGGAUGGUCUUUCACCUCCCUCUUUCUGAUCUCUUUUUCAUGCUCCUCCUUGCUCCAAAGAAAAGCCGGAUGGCAAAAGAGCCCAGAACCUAUUGGAACUGACAAAAUCAAGUCACGGCGCCUACAAAGAUGAGGGGCAGAUUCUGGCUGCCUUUUAAUUUCGUCCUUCACCUGAUAUCUGUGCCAGAGAAUGAUAAAAAUCAUAAUAAAGGAAAUAAUGGAAGAGGAGACUUAUGUUACUGGGGACAUCUAACAUAAUUAUUUUCCUGAUUCAGUGGCAUGGUUCAGUCUUCCAGGAGUUCUGCUACAGAGAAGAGAGUAACCCCCAUCCAUCAUGGCCAAAGCACCCAGUCAGGCUCCGCUCUGGAUCCAGCCCGACAAAUGCAACCCUUGAAUAGGGUUUGUGCAAGCAAACUGGAUGACGACCGAAGAAACCCUGUCGCUUCUGAGAAGACACCCAAUCCAAGAAUAUACAGUCGAAUGUAAUUUGGAAUUUACGAGUCUUAUCACAUUCUCAUUCUGCUUGAGCAAUUCAAGAUAUAAGAAAAACAGACUGUCUACAUUUCUUCAGAGUUCCUCCAACUAUUGGCUUAAAAUUCCUGAAAUUAAAAUUAUAGUUCUUUG
Molecule: long non-coding RNA, 686 nt
Filed under: Homo sapiens (human)
Lineage: Eukaryota; Metazoa; Chordata; Mammalia; Primates; Hominidae
Description: HSALNT0356674
Source: RNAcentral